AGAAUGACCUAGCUAGAGUGCUUGCUAUCUUAUCGUGCACCUCCAACAGUUGAAGCUGCCAGCAUGAUCUAAGCUAUCUUUGUAUACAGGAAAGGCUAUAGAUCAUGUGGUAGCUUCACCUGUUGAAUGAAGCACGAGAAAAACCCUAGAUUCACAGCGGUCGAUCU
Malus domestica (apple) is the source of this 167-nucleotide non-coding RNA. RefSeq annotates it as microRNA MIR167g. The record is from RefSeq and is marked provisional. NCBI's taxonomy places the organism in Eukaryota, Viridiplantae, Streptophyta, Magnoliopsida, Rosales, Rosaceae.